GGCGAGCGGCGAACGGGUGAGUAACAUAUCGGAACGUACCCCGUCGUGGGGGAUAACACAGCGAAAGCUGUGCUAAUACCGCAUACGACCUGAGGGUGAAAGCGGGGGAUCGCAAGACCUCGCGCGAUGGGAGCGGCCGAUAUCGGAUUAGCUUGUUGGUGAGGUAAAGGCUCACCAAGGCGACGAUCCGUAGCUGGUCUGAGAGGACGACCAGCCACACUGGAACUGAGACACGGUCCAGGACUCCUACGGGGGGGCAGCAGUGGGGAAUUUUGGACAAUGGGGCAACCCUGAUCCAGCCAUUCCGCGUGAGUGAAGAAGGCCUUCGGGUUGUAAAGCUCUUUCAGCAGGAACGAAACGGUGGCCAUUAAUACUGGCUACUAAUGACGGUACCUGAAGAAGAAGCACCGGCUAACUACGUG
This 422-nucleotide ribosomal RNA is filed under the name uncultured bacterium. Its description in RNAcentral is "bacterial SSU rRNA". It matches the Rfam family "Bacterial small subunit ribosomal RNA", at positions 90 to 507 of the family's 1533-position model. The record is from RNAcentral.